UGGGGAAUUUUGCACAAUGGGCGCAAGCCUGAUGCAGCGACGCCGCGUGAGGGAUGAAGGCCUUCGGGUUGUAAACCUUUUUCGCUCAUGGUCAAGCCGCAGCUUUGGGUUGUGGUGAGGGUAGUGGGUAAAGAAGCGCCGGCUAACUACGUGCCAGCAGCCGCGGUAAUACGUAGGGCGCGAGCGUUGUCCGGAAUUAUUGGGCGUAAAGGGUACGUAGGCGGCCCAGUAAGUUAGAAGUGAAAUAAUAUAGCUCAACUAUAUAAAGCUUUUAAAACUGCUAGGCUUGAGAGAUGGAAGGGAAAGUGGAAUUCCUAGUGUAGCGGUGAAAUGCGCAGAUAUUAGGAAGAAUACCGGUGGCGAAGGCGACUUUCUGGUCAUCAUCUGACGCUGAGGUACGAAAGCGUGGGGAGCAAACAGG
This 421-nucleotide ribosomal RNA is filed under the name Verrucomicrobiota bacterium. Its description in RNAcentral is "Verrucomicrobia bacterium partial 16S ribosomal RNA". It matches the Rfam family "Bacterial small subunit ribosomal RNA", at positions 355 to 776 of the family's 1533-position model. The record is from RNAcentral. Lineage: Bacteria; Pseudomonadati; Verrucomicrobiota.